GGGUGGAUUAGUGGCGAACGGGUGAGUAACACGUGAGUAACCUGCCCUUGACUCUGGGAUAAGCGUUGGAAACGACGUCUAAUACCGGAUACGAGCUUCCACCGCAUGGUGAGUUGCUGGAAAGAAUUUUGGUCAAGGAUGGACUCGCGGCCUAUCAGCUUGUUGGUGAGGUAACGGCUCACCAAGGCGACGACGGGUAGCCGGCCUGAGAGGGUGACCGGCCACACUGGGACUGAGACACGGCCCAGACUCCUACGGGAGGCAGCAGUGGGGAAUAUUGCACAAUGGGCGAAAGCCUGAUGCAGCAACGCCGCGUGAGGGACGACGGCCUUCGGGUUGUAAACCUCUUUUAGCAGGGAAGAAGCGAAAGUGACGGUACCUGCAGAAAAAGCACCGGCUAACUACGUGCCAGCAGC
Molecule: ribosomal RNA, 416 nt
Filed under: Plantibacter sp. R9.52
Lineage: Bacteria; Bacillati; Actinomycetota; Actinomycetes; Micrococcales; Microbacteriaceae
Description: bacterial SSU rRNA
Rfam family: Bacterial small subunit ribosomal RNA
Source: RNAcentral